AAGUCGUAACAAGGUUUCCGUAGGUGAACCUGCGGAAGGAUCAUUAAUGAUUUUUAAAGCGAGUCGAGCGGUUAAGUGAGGCUUGCGAAAUAUUUAAAACCCCACUCUUUUUAACCUUAAAAAAUAAAUCAUGAUACAUGAAUUUAAAAAAGAUCACUUUCAACAACGGAUCUCUUGGCUCUC
RNAcentral lists this unclassified non-coding RNA (183 nucleotides) under Funneliformis sp. RNAcentral's name for it is "partial internal transcribed spacer region". The stretch from base 1 to 46 matches the Rfam family "Eukaryotic small subunit ribosomal RNA", at positions 1786 to 1831 of the family's 1831-position model. The record is from RNAcentral. Lineage: Eukaryota; Fungi; Glomeromycota; Glomeromycetes; Glomerales; Glomeraceae.